GCCGGUGUUGCUAAGUGAUUAGAGUGUUGGCCUGAGCGCCAAAGGGUCGCAGGUUCAAUUCCUGGUCAAGGGCA
Molecule: non-coding RNA, 74 nt
Organism: Myotis lucifugus (little brown bat)
Lineage: Eukaryota; Metazoa; Chordata; Mammalia; Chiroptera; Vespertilionidae
Source: Rfam